This 253-nucleotide ribosomal RNA is filed under the name uncultured bacterium. RNAcentral's name for it is "partial 16S ribosomal RNA". It matches the Rfam family "Bacterial small subunit ribosomal RNA", at positions 524 to 776 of the family's 1533-position model. The record is from RNAcentral.
UACGUAGGGUGCAAGCGUUGUCCGGAAUUAUUGGGCGUAAAGAGCUCGUAGGCGGUUCGUCGCGUCGGCUGUGAAAACCCGGAGCUCAACCCCAGGUCUGCAGUGGAUACGGGCAGGCUAGAGUCAGGUAGGGGAGAACGGAAUUCCUGGUGUAGCGGUGAAAUGCGCAGAUAUCAGGAGGAACACCGGUGGCGAAGGCGGUUCUCUGGGCCUGUACUGACGCUGAGGAACGAAAGCGUGGGGAGCGAACAGG